AGGUUGGUAAGAGCGACGCGCUCCUUUCAUGAACAAACCGCGUCUGCGUUCACUGGUGCGCCGCCAGAUGGCGUCACGAGUACGAUUGUCGAAGGAAGGUCAAACUCGGCGACUGAUGUGUACAUAUACGCUUUCGAUAGACGAGAGAUCCUGGCUAUUUGGACGCAACAGCGGAACAAAGCCUGCUUAUCUCGAAUAUACCAGAGAAUACCGCUCCUCUGGACGCGCAGAAGCCGGUGAGUUGGUCUCUGUUUCGCUCUUCGAAAAACCAUCAAUUUUUGUGCAAUCAGCUGUGUCCAGUGGAUUAUUUUGUGCGGAAGUGCUUGCCAAGCAGAUACUGCGUGGAUUAAGUACCUGGGGCCAUAAUCUGGUUGUUAUCUUGCGGCUAAUUCGACUCGAGCCGUGAACUGUGAUGUCACGAUCGUUUCGAAGCAACGAACUGAUCGUUCAGACGCAGGCGAGGAACGAAGCUUGAAGUUUCCGUCAACGACGACGACGACUACGACUACGACUAUGAGGACGACGACGACGGUUGUCUCUCGACGUGCGGGCAGAUGCAUUAUCAUUGUGAGCGGUGAUGCGAGAUGUACCGGUCUAGGAGGAGGCAGUGACGGUGAGUACUCAACGUUCUAA
Odontomachus brunneus is the source of this 633-nucleotide long non-coding RNA. RefSeq lists it as uncharacterized. The record is from RefSeq and is a predicted model, not a curated record. Lineage: Eukaryota; Metazoa; Arthropoda; Insecta; Hymenoptera; Formicidae. The transcript is spliced from 4 exons.